RNAcentral lists this ribosomal RNA (406 nucleotides) under uncultured bacterium. Its description in RNAcentral is "partial 16S ribosomal RNA". It matches the Rfam family "Bacterial small subunit ribosomal RNA", at positions 30 to 526 of the family's 1533-position model. The record is from RNAcentral.
AUUGAACGCUGGCGGCAGGCCUAACACAUGCAAGUCGAACGAGUGGCGGACGGGUUAGUAAUGUCUGUGCAACUGCCUGAUGGAGGGGGACAACUACUGGAAACGGUAGCUACUUCCGCAUAGCAUCCGAUGUGCCCCGGUGGGAUUUGCUUGUUGUUGGGGUAACGGCGCACCAAGGCGACGAUCCCUAGCUGGUCUGAGAGGAUGACCAGCCACACUGGAACUGAGACACGGUCCAGACUCCUACGGGAGGCAGCAGUGGGGAAUAUUGGACAAUGGGCGAAAGCCUGAUGCAGCCAUGCCGCGUGUAUGAAGAAGGCCUUCGGGUUGUAAAGUACUUUCAGCGGGGAGGCGUUACCCGCAGAAGAAGCACCGGCUAACUCCGUGCCAGCAGCCGCGGUAAUAC